UUGCAUAUCCAUAAGCGGAGGAAAAGAAACCAACUGGGAUUACCUUAGUAACGGCGAGUGAAGCGGUAAAAGCUCAAAUUUGAAAUCUGGUACUUUCAGUGCCCGAGUUGUAAUUUGUAGAAUUUGUCUUUGAUUAGGUCCUUGUCUAUGUUCCUUGGAACAGGACGUCAUAGAGGGUGAGAAUCCCGUUUGGCGAGGAUACCUUUUCUCUGUAAGACUUUUUCGAAGAGUCGAGUUGUUUGGGAAUGCAGCUCAAAGUGGGUGGUAAAUUCCAUCUAAAGCUAAAUAUUGGCGAGAGACCGAUAGCGAACAAGUACAGUGAUGGAAAGAUGAAAAGAACUUUGAAAAGAGAGUGAAAAAGUACGUGAAAUUGUUGAAAGGGAAGGGCAUUUGAUCAGACAUGGUGUUUUUUGCAUGCACUCGCCUCUCGUGGGCUUGGGCCUCUCAAAAAUUUCACUGGGCCAACAUCAAUUCUGGCAGCAGGAUAAAUCAUUAAGAAUGUAGCUACUUCGGUAGUGUUAUAGCUUUUUGGAAUACUGUUAGCCGGGAUUGAGGACUGCGCUUCGGCAAGGAUGUUGGCAUAAUGGUUAAAUGCCGCCCGUCUUA
RNAcentral lists this ribosomal RNA (606 nucleotides) under Hanseniaspora uvarum. RNAcentral's name for it is "eukaryotic LSU rRNA". It matches the Rfam family "Eukaryotic large subunit ribosomal RNA", at positions 36 to 656 of the family's 3401-position model. The record is from RNAcentral. Lineage: Eukaryota; Fungi; Ascomycota; Saccharomycetes; Saccharomycodales; Saccharomycodaceae.